RNAcentral lists this ribosomal RNA (440 nucleotides) under uncultured bacterium. Its description in RNAcentral is "partial 16S ribosomal RNA". It matches the Rfam family "Bacterial small subunit ribosomal RNA", at positions 338 to 795 of the family's 1533-position model. The record is from RNAcentral.
CCUACGGGAGGCAGCAGUAGGGAAUAUUGCUCAAUGGGGGAAACCCUGAAGCAGCAACGCCGCGUGGAGGAUGAAGGUUUUCGGAUUGUAAACUCCUUUUGUUAGAGAAGAUAAUGACGGUAUCUAACGAAUAAGCACCGGCUAACUUCGUGCCAGCAGCCGCGGUAAUACGGAGGGUGCAAGCGUUUCUCGGAAUCACUGGGCGUAAAGAGCGCGGAGGCGGGAUAGCAAGUCAGAUGUGAAAUCCUAUGGCUUAACCAUAGAACUGCAUUUGAAACUGGUAUUCUUGAGUAUGGGAGAGGUAGGUGGAAUUCUUGGUGUAGCGGUGAAAUGCGUAGAGAUCAAGAGGAAUACUGAUGGCGAAGGCGACCAGCUAGAACAUAACUGACGCUGAGGCGCGAAAGCGUGGGGAGCAAACAGGAUUAGAUACCCUGGUAGUC